AUCAAAUGUUUACCUUAAACCAGAGGUAGUGACACUAAUGGAAGAACGUUUGCGGUUUAGCAGCCCAAUAGUGUAGUGCCUCUUUAAGAGGAGUGUGCUGUGAGUACAGGUGACCGGUGAGUACUACGUGAAAAGGAAGCACGAGAUUCAUUCAGUUGGUGAUGACUGUCAACCCGGUGUGCAGCCACUUGGUUUAUUACCUGGUUUCCCUUUGUGAACAAAAAGAAAUAAACAAACAAAUGUGGAAUACCGAGUAAUAUCCUUUGUACACUGGGUUGCCCUUUCCGUGGGGAGAACACGGAACAGU
Molecule: long non-coding RNA, 307 nt
Organism: Sander lucioperca (pikeperch)
Lineage: Eukaryota; Metazoa; Chordata; Actinopteri; Perciformes; Percidae
Exons: 2
Source: RefSeq, a predicted model, not a curated record